RNAcentral lists this non-coding RNA (97 nucleotides) under human gut metagenome. Its description in RNAcentral is "SAM riboswitch (S box leader)". It matches the Rfam family "SAM riboswitch aptamer (S box leader)". From Rfam's summary of the family: The SAM riboswitch is found upstream of a number of genes which code for proteins involved in methionine or cysteine biosynthesis in Gram-positive bacteria. The SAM riboswitch acts at the level of transcription termination control. The record is from RNAcentral.
CUUAUCAAGAGCAGUUGAGGGACAGGGCCCUGUGACACUGCGGCAACCGGCUUUUUGGGUAUCGGUGCCAAAUCCCUCCGUUCAAGCGGAAGAUAAG